GCCAUCAUAGAUCAGCGGUAGAUUUCCUCCUCACAAUCACAAUCCAUGAUGCACCAUUACGGAGGCGACGUGGGUUCGACUCCCACCGAGGGCA
Mycena maculata is the source of this 94-nucleotide non-coding RNA. The record is from the annotation of a GenBank genome assembly. Lineage: Eukaryota; Fungi; Basidiomycota; Agaricomycetes; Agaricales; Mycenaceae.